Molecule: ribosomal RNA, 222 nt
Filed under: unidentified soil organism R6-52
Description: partial 16S ribosomal RNA
Rfam family: Bacterial small subunit ribosomal RNA
Source: RNAcentral
CCCAAAAGACGUCUCUCAGUUCAGAUUGCAGNCUNCAACUUCNCCUGUAUGAAGCUGGAAUCGCUAGUAAUCGUAUAUCAGCAAUGANAGGGUGAAUACGUUCCCGGACCUUGUACACACCGCCCGUCAAGCCAUGGAAGCUGGGUGUACCUAAAGUCGAUAACCGCAAGGAGUCGCCUAGGGUAAAACUAGUAACUGGGGCUUAGUCGUAACGAGUUAACC